GUCCGCGGCCCAAUAUCCGCACUGAAAAUGCGGGUGUCGGCGGUUCAAAUCCGCCCCUCGCCA
This 63-nucleotide transfer RNA is filed under the name Planctomycetota bacterium. Its description in RNAcentral is "tRNA-OTHER". The record is from RNAcentral. Lineage: Bacteria; Pseudomonadati; Planctomycetota. RNAcentral also lists the same sequence under 1 other name.